GACAGUAUCUGAUUUGCUGUCUGUGAAAGAGUGGGAAAGAGAGCCUAAUCAGAAAGCAGCAGUCAAUCUUGGCUGAGGAGGUAUAUGCUGGAGAAUGAAGCUGCCCAAACCGAUGGGACCUGAGGAGUGAAGCCCUAAGAAAGCACCUCAGGAAAUCAGCCCAAAUUCCCACUACAAAUUUCCUUUCAAACAUUGGCUGAUUCUUAAGUAGCAUAUGCACGGGAUAAGACCCUCAAAACCCACUGAAAAACAGUAUGCAGAAAACUAAAAGCUGAGCAGAGAAGUCGGCAGCCAUGGAGACAGAGACUGGAUUGUUCAAAGCCUGUUCUUCCAGAUUUCUUCUGUCCGCUGAUGGACAACAAAUGGAUUAAAGGACUCAUUCAAAAGACAGAACAGGCCGAGCUCAUGCCUGUAAUCCCAGCACUUUGGGAGGCUGAGGCAGGCCGAUGACUUGAGGUCAGGAGUUCGAGAGCAGCCUGGCCAACAUGGUGAAACCCUGGCUCUACUAAAAAUAAAAAAAUUAGCUCUGUGUGGUGGCACGUGCCUGUAAUCCCAGCUACUUGGAAGGCUGAGGCACGAGAAUCACUUGAACCCAGGAGGCAGAGGUUGCAGUGAGCCAAGGACACACUACUGCACUCCAGCCUGGGUGAUGGAGUGAGACUCUGUCUCAAAAAAUAAAAAAAUAAAAAGUAAAAAUAAAAAGACAGAACAGAUUAUGAUUAGUGUCUUUAAAU
This 734-nucleotide long non-coding RNA is filed under the name Homo sapiens (human). Its description in RNAcentral is "HSALNT0058528". Lineage: Eukaryota; Metazoa; Chordata; Mammalia; Primates; Hominidae. The record is from RNAcentral.